AACGAACGCUGGCGGCAGGCUUAACACAUGCAAGUCGAGCGCCCCGCAAGGGGAGCGGCAGACGGGUGAGUAACACGUGGGAACAUACCCAUCUCUGCGGAACAACUCCGGGAAACUGGAGCUAAUACCGCAUACGCCCUUUGGGGGAAAGAUUUAUCGGAGAUGGAUUGGCCCGCGUUGGAUUAGCUAGUUGGUGGGGUAAAGGCCUACCAAGGCGACGAUCCAUAGCUGGUCUGAGAGGAUGAUCAGCCACAUUGGGACUGAGACACGGCCCAAACUCCUACGGGAGGCAGCAGUGGGGAAUAUUGGACAAUGGGCGCAAGCCUGAUCCAGCCAUGCCGCGUGAGUGAUGAAGGCCUUAGGGUAGUAAAGCUCUUUCACCGAUGAAGAUAAUGACGGUAGUCGGAGAAGAAGCCCCGGCUAACUUCGUGCCAGCAGCCGCCGUAA
RNAcentral lists this ribosomal RNA (447 nucleotides) under uncultured bacterium. Its description in RNAcentral is "partial 16S ribosomal RNA". It matches the Rfam family "Bacterial small subunit ribosomal RNA", at positions 29 to 523 of the family's 1533-position model. The record is from RNAcentral.